UCUAGCCAUGGGCAGGUUGAAGGUUGGGUAACACUAACUGGAGGACCGAACCGACUAAUGUUGAAAAAUUAGCGGAUGACUUGUGGCUGGGGGUGAAAGGCCAAUCAAACCGGGAGAUAGCUGGUUCUCCCCGAAAGCUAUUUAGGUAGCGCCUCGUGAACUCAUCUUCGGGGGUAGAGCACUGUUUCGGCUAGGGGGUCAUCCCGACUUACCAACCCGAUGCAAACUACGAAUACCGAAGAAUGUUAUCACGGGAGACACACGGCGGGUGCUAACGUCCGUCGUGAAGAGGGAAACAACCCAGACCGCCAGCUAAGGUCCCAAAGUCAUGGUUAAGUGGGAAACGAUGUGGGAAGGCACAGACAGCCAGGAUGUUGGCUUAGAAGCAGCCAUCAUUUAAAGAAAGCGUAAUAGCUCACUGGUCGAGUCGGCCUGCGCGGAAGAUGUAACGGGGCUAAACCAUGCACCGAAGCUGCGGCAGCGACACUAUGUGUUGUUGGGUAGGGGAGCGUUCUGUAAGCCUGCGAAGGUGUGCUGUGAGGC
This 543-nucleotide ribosomal RNA is filed under the name Klebsiella pneumoniae. RNAcentral's name for it is "partial 23S ribosomal RNA". It matches the Rfam family "Bacterial large subunit ribosomal RNA", at positions 729 to 1269 of the family's 2925-position model. Lineage: Bacteria; Pseudomonadati; Pseudomonadota; Gammaproteobacteria; Enterobacterales; Enterobacteriaceae. The record is from RNAcentral.